RNAcentral lists this ribosomal RNA (388 nucleotides) under uncultured bacterium. Its description in RNAcentral is "bacterial SSU rRNA". It matches the Rfam family "Bacterial small subunit ribosomal RNA", at positions 28 to 416 of the family's 1533-position model. The record is from RNAcentral.
GACGAACGCUGGCGGCGUGCUUAACACAUGCAAGUCGAGCGGUAAGGCCCUUUCGGGGGUACACGAGCGGCGAACGGGUGAGUAACACGUGGGUGACCUGCCUUUAGCUCUGGGAUAAGCCUGGGAAACUGGGUCUAAUACCGGAUAUGACUCCAUGAUGCAUGUUGUGGGGUGGAAAGCCUUGUGCGGCUGGAGAUGGGCCCGCGGCCUAUCAGCUUGUUGGUGGGGUGANGGCCUACCAAGGCGACGACGGGUAGCCGGCCUGAGAGGGCGACCGGCCACACUGGGACUGAGACACGGGCCCAGACUCCUACGGGAGGCAGCAGUGGGGAAUCUUGCGCAAUGGGCGAAAGCCUGACGCAGCGACGCCGCGUGAGGGAUGACGGCC